GGUGGUAACACAGCAAUGAAGUUUAUGAGAGUGAGGCCGUGAGAAUUUGAGUGGAGCAGGAAAGAAAUCAGAUCAUUGCCACACAGGGUGAAGAAGAACGCUUGAAUUCUGGGACUCCACUUUCAACAUCCUCAAAGGCAUCUAAUGGUUCAGAACAUACUGAAUAUCUGCACUUCCAGAAAUCAAGCCUUGAGUAGAACUCCCCUGAAAGCAGGACACCGGGAAGCUGAGAUGAGUUUUAGAGGUUACCAUACACAGAUGGCUUCCUGCAAUACAGAGAAGGUUCCUGGCAAGACAGUUUUCUGGAUAACGUUUGAAUCGGAUGUGAUGGAGAGUCUCAAGGCACAGGUGCUGAGAUGUGUGUGUAGACAUGCAAGUUAAAUACUAAAGAACAGGACAGAGAGGGCAGGAGGACUUCAUCUUGCAUUCAUCAGUGUGGUUGCCGAGCUACUCCUUGCUAGCUGCAGAAGUGAAGCCAGAGACGGGUGCUGGGGCUCACCUUUACUCCUGUCUGCCUUUGUCCUUCACUCGCACUUUGCAGUCCUGAAAUCUGUCUUUGAACAGUGAUAGCAGUUUCAGAUCUGGCACUACAGCUCAGCUCAGGCCAAACGUGAACAUAAGGAAGACGUGUGAAGCUGGUGAAAAGCCUGCAGGGAACAAUAUGCUGUCAAGGAUUACAACGCUUAAAGAAACAUAAGGCUGAUGAACAUGUGCAAAGGAUCUUAUGUCCUUACAUCCACAGGGAGUUUUGUGCCUCUGUCCUGUUAGCAUUAGUCAUGUAAACCUCUCAUUCAUCUACCUUGUGAAGACUGAUUUCCUUAGUCUUUGGUGUUUUCAGCUGUUUUUCAUUUGCCAGCUGAACUAACUCAGUGACUGCUUAUGUGCAUGGGAAUUUAUUAUAAAUUUUGAUUACAUAAAGCCAUCUUGUGGACUCAUACUUCAUUAGUAGUCUGACCAGUUACCCACUACAAUGCUAACGCACAUAUUUGCACUGCAGAUACUAUAGCUAACACGCAGUGGACAUUUAUGUGGAACACAAGAUGCAGUGUUUCACCAACUCUUUGCAUUAAAUUCAUAACAUCUGAGUUUACUUUUCUCUUACCAAGUGAGCAUAUGAUGAGAGAGCAGAGCACAAAAUUAAGCAUUGUAUAACCCGCUGAAAAUUUGACUUACAUCAAAGGAUCUGUCAGUGUAUUCUGCUGGAGAAAGCAAACUGCUUGGACUGCAGCUGUCUAGCCUGCUGGACAUGGACUUGCACCUUGAGACUCUUGGGUCCUUACUUUCUUCAUAGCCAUAGCAAAAUGGUCCAAGAGCUACUGCUCAAAAGGAUAACAUAAGAACAAAGUGUUGGCAUUAUUUUCUUCUUUUAGCCACCCUCUUCCUUAUCUUGUUUGAAUAAUUAAAAUAAUUCUUAGGAAUGCACAACACAUUUUGAAACCUUGACUCAAGCACCUGUUGAAAUUUUAUUGUUUGCCAGAAACAAAUCAUUUUGAUUUUUCAAAAAAGCCCUGAAGUGGACAAAAAAAGAAGCAUUUCUGUGUGGUAUAUCUUGAUAAGAAGGAUUUAACAGUCUGUAAUCUUGGUCAGUCUGAUUUCUACAAUUACGGAAAAUUAUGAAGAUUGAUGUUAGUUGCAAUAUAUCUUAUUACACAAACUAGUACAAGAUAAGUCUUCUCUUUGAAAUACAUAUUUCACUAAAACUAGCAUAUAUAAUAUAGUGAUUUUCUUUCUUUCUUUUCCAUGUCAGAUUGAUAAUAGACUGUGUAGGAAUGUGCUGAAAAACACAAAAAGAAAAAGUUGCAGCAAUUCAAAUUGUCAUGGCAAUAUCCAGAUUUUUCAAAAAGUUCGGUUCUGUUUAGCUAGUCACUUUAAUUUUCCUUCUCUAACUUGUCUCCAUUCUCUACCAUAAUGAUAAUUCUUUAUAUGACUGUCAGCCCUUUGCAUUGUGACAGCUUAAAUUAAUGUUUUGAUAUUUCUCUCUUUGUAAGAAUACAACAAAGAAGACAACUGCCAAGGAUAGGACAGAAACUGUAUGAAUGUAAAACAGACAUUGUGCACCA
Rhea pennata is the source of this 2060-nucleotide long non-coding RNA. RefSeq lists it as uncharacterized. The transcript is spliced from 6 exons. NCBI's taxonomy places the organism in Eukaryota, Metazoa, Chordata, Aves, Rheiformes, Rheidae. The record is from RefSeq and is a predicted model, not a curated record.